RNAcentral lists this long non-coding RNA (599 nucleotides) under Olea europaea subsp. europaea. Lineage: Eukaryota; Viridiplantae; Streptophyta; Magnoliopsida; Lamiales; Oleaceae. The record is from RNAcentral.
CUUGAGAUUGAACUAACAGAUACUAGAAUCUAGAUCUGAGAAAAUAUGAAAUAUGGAUGAAUAUGGAAAAUUCUUGUAUUGAAGAUGAUAGUUCACGUGAAAUGUACAUCAGGUGGUCUUUAAAUAGAGAAUGAAAGCAAUUGGGUUCUAUACAGUUGUUUACAGCUGGAUAUUAACAGAAAAUCAACUAAUCUAACUAAUUCUUCCACGUCAGCAACAGGUUCUGGUUGUUUCUUCCGUCCUUAUAGCAAGAAGUCGACUCAGGCUUUUCAGUUUGGAUGUUGGGACUAAAGCGAAUUCUGGAAGCAAAGCAACGAGGACUUCAACAAAUACUUUCUUGCAUUACCAUUUUUAAUUCGCUCUUGCAUAAAGCUCUACACUUUGAUUGUAGGGAUUUCGCCAGGAUCCUCAUAGAAUGCAUCAUUCAUAUCACAUUAUGACACUUCUACAGGUCGUAUUGUUGGUUUUUCGAUAAUAGGUUUACAGUUUUGCAUACUGAACCCUUUUUCUCUAUCUGAAUUGUCACCUAUUGGUGGUAGUGCCAUUGGCUUUAUAGUUACACCAGGGUUUUUAUUUACAGUUGUCGGAGCAAGAGAUGC